GCAUAUGCGAUCUGCUGUACGGCACGAGGGGAUGUGCUAUCGAAUUUCUUCCCCUCUCUCCUUCCUUUCCUCCACGCCUUUGGCGCCUCAUCUUCCUUCCAUCGCCUCUAUUCUCGUUGACUGAAGCUGUUUUGACUUGCCCACCCUUUCUUGCGAUGAGGCACAAGCACCUAUGCACAUGGACGCCUAGUCGAGUGCACACGGCGGUGAUGGCUCGCCUUGCACAGUGAAUGCGGACGUUCGCCCAUUGUCCUCUGGCUUCCUGUAUCUUCUGCUUCAACACCUUGCUUCUCUUCCAUAGCCAGCCAGCGCGCCUUUCUUGCCGUCUAAAGUACUUUCUUCCUUAUCGUUUUCGUCAAUGGAUUUCCGUGCACGUCUUCCCUCCCCCUUUCCGUCAGUGUUCCCCAGGCGCUCAGAGCUGGCGAGAAGCACCGGUGUAUCGUGCGCCAUCGCCUACUUCCGCUGUGUGGAUGCACCACGUAAUGCCGCUUCGCUCUCAAUUCUUAUUUGAAGUCACGUUCUUCAUGUGGUCACUCGAAUCCCCGCUCAGGCCUUCUUUCCAUCGUUGCCGGUGCGUUAGAGUCGGUCCCACCCAUCCAGCCCCAGUUCACCGCUUCACCAGGUGAGACAGGAGAUCCGAAAAGAUGGGUGGCCAGGCAUUCUCGUGAGCCCCCAAUGAAGGUGCACACACCGUCCCUAUGGAUCACCUUGAGUGACAAGGCUCGGCCGAAGCUGUACGAUGGCACGCACCCCUCAUCUCGGGUUGUGCAACUGUAUGUUUUCCUACAGGUCGCAGCGCUUGUUGUACUCCUCGAUACGUCCCCCCUACUCCCCUUCCCCCUCUUCCCUUCCCCUCUCUCGCCUCCUACCUUCUUUCUCGUGCCGGCGAAG
This 891-nucleotide unclassified non-coding RNA is filed under the name Leishmania donovani. RNAcentral's name for it is "gene:unknown". The record is from RNAcentral. Lineage: Eukaryota; Euglenozoa; Kinetoplastea; Trypanosomatida; Trypanosomatidae.